GGUUAAAAAGCUCGUAGUUGGAUUUCUGUCGAGAACGCGCGGUCCACGCUUUGCGUGAGUAUCUGUGUCGGUCUUGGCAUCCUCUAAAGGAUCGUUUCUGCGCUUGAUUGCGUGGAGCGGAACUUUAGACUUUUACUUUGAGGAAAUUAGAGUGUUCACGGCAGGCAAACGCCUUGAAUACAUUAGCAUGGAAUAAUAACAUAGGGCCUUGGUUCUAUUUUGUUGGUUUCUAGAGCUGAGGCAAUGAUUAAUAGGGAUAAUUGGGGGCAUUCGUACUAACGCGUCAGAGGUGGAAUUCUUGGAUUGCGUUAUGACGAACUACUGCGAAAGCAUUUGCCAAGGAUGUUUUCAUUGAUCAAGAACGAAAGUUAGGGGAUCGAAGACGCUUAGAUACCGUCGUAGUCUUAACCAUAAACUAUGCCGACUAGAGAUUGGAGGUCGUUUUUUUUAUGACUCCUUCAGCACCUUAUGAGAAAUCAAAGUCUUUGGGUUCCGGGGGGAGUAUGGUCGCAAGGCUGAAACU
This 523-nucleotide ribosomal RNA is filed under the name uncultured marine eukaryote. RNAcentral's name for it is "SSU rRNA". It matches the Rfam family "Eukaryotic small subunit ribosomal RNA", at positions 617 to 1144 of the family's 1831-position model. The record is from RNAcentral.